Molecule: ribosomal RNA, 1503 nt
Filed under: Triticum aestivum (bread wheat)
Lineage: Eukaryota; Viridiplantae; Streptophyta; Magnoliopsida; Poales; Poaceae
Description: partial small subunit ribosomal RNA
Source: RNAcentral
AUGCGCUGCGCUCUCCUCGUCGGACUCCGCCACCUCACCGGCAACUACACCACCGGCGCCGCCGCCUCCAAUGAACCUAGCUCCGAUGCCAUGUUGGGUGGAGGACACACUGUGGGGAAAUUUCCUGAAGCGUCGAUCACCUCAGAGGAUGCUCAGUACAAAAGGUUCAAGCUCAAAACAACAAAGGAUGAUGAUGUGGCAACUCAAGCCACCAAUAUAUCACAAUUACUCAGGACAAGAAACUUUCUCGUGUUGGUUGAUGACCUUUAUGAGAAGCUAGACCUUCUAGCAAUUGGCAUUCCAUAUCCUUUCGGAACUGUCGACCAAUUGAAGAGGAAAGUGGUAAUCACGUCCCAAUCAAAAAUUAUAUGUGACCAGAUGGGUGUGAAUGAAUAUAUAGAAGUGCCUGGUUUGGGUGAGACCGAAGCACUCAAGCUAUUUGCACAAACUGUUGGUCAGGAUAAUAAUCAUAUUGAUUCUGAUCCCAGCAUUAGGGCCCUGGCGCAUGAUCUUGUCAAGGAACUAAAAGGUGUGCCAUCAGAAUUGAUACAUUUUGGGAAGCCAAUGGCCGGAAGGAUUUUGAGAAAUCUCAAGGAUGCCACCAACAACUUGGUUGCAAGGAGCAAUGAUGUUCAUCGCAAGAUUGAGGCUGCCGAGCGUGAGUGCAUGACAUCCACGAAUGAGGUGAACAAGUGGUUGGAAGAGGUGGAUACCAUCAAUUCUGAUGUGGAGAUAAUCUUUGAGGGCAACAAAUUGAAAAAGGAUGUUAAUAUGGAAGCAAUCAAGAAGGUUACUGAGGUCCAAGAAUGUCUCAGAUCUUGUCCCAAUAAUAAUAUUGCAUUCGAGUCAGUGCCACCUCCUGCCCAAGAGAUACCGGGUCCAUCUAUGUCUGCACAGAAUCGUAACCUUACAGAGGCUCUCCAAUUCAUUAAUGAUGACCCUGUGGGGAUGAUUGGAAUAUGGGGUCCAGGUGGAGUUGGGAAAACGUAUCUUAUGAACAGUAUCAAUAACUCAAUAGCUGUUGCUGGAGGCAUAUCGUUUAAUGUUAUCUUUGUGACGGCCUCCAGGGGUUGUUCAGUGGAGAAGAUUCAAGGAGAUUUACUGCUGAAGCUCGGAAUGAAAGCAGAUGGUAAUGUGGAAUCUCAAAGCCAAAAAAUUUAUAAUUUCCUGAAAAACAGAAGCUUUCUAUUACUGUUGGAUGACCUUUGGGAUCAAAUUGAUCUGCAAGCAGUUGGCAUUCCAUAUCCUCUUGGAAUUCUGGGCCAAUUGAAGAGGAAAGUGGUAAUCACGUCGCAAUCAGAAAAUGUGUGUUAUCAAAUGGACGUAAAGGUGCCUAUAGAAGUUCCUCGUUUGGAAGAUGAUGAAGCCCUCCAGCUAUUUGAACAAAUGGUUGGUCGGGAAAAUCUUUAUGAGGAUCCCCACAUCAGGGCCCUUGCGAUAUAUCUUGUAAAAGAACUAAAAGGUCUUCCAUCAGAAUUGAUACGUAUUGGGAAGAUAUUUUGA